RNAcentral lists this long non-coding RNA (17866 nucleotides) under Eutrema salsugineum. Its description in RNAcentral is "long non-coding RNA (ESAL_LNC001250)". Lineage: Eukaryota; Viridiplantae; Streptophyta; Magnoliopsida; Brassicales; Brassicaceae. The record is from RNAcentral.
AUGUCGAGAUACUGAUGCCGAGGCUUGAGAAAAUACUUAGCGCGUAUCGCAACUCAUUUAGGCUCGUAUCGACCAUAUUGCCUUCCGAAAGCAGUAACUUUAAACACACGACUCCAAUUGCUCUGAGACCAGUUCCAUAGUCAAGAUGACUCAAUAAGCUCGAACUUUGGUGAAGAAACCCUCGGAGCUUGUGAUAUAAUCUUGGAUAGCAUCAAUAACGAGUGGGAACCAGAUGGAAAACCGCAAGGAGCUAAGGAGCUAAGGAGUAAAGACAAGGUUCAGGAAAUGGAACAAGAAGACACUUUGCUCAUUACAAACGGUCCUAUAACCCGAGCAAAGGCUAAGAGGCUCAAGGAAGCUGUUGGGGAAAUACUUAAGCAUGGAACGCUUGUGGAACAGAAGGGAAAAGAGAUGGGCACAACUACACUAGUUGUGAUCCAAGUCCGAGAAGACUAAUGGGCUUGUGAUCCAACUAUGUACUCUUUUUCCCUAUCUCAAGUUUUGUCCCAAUGGGUUUUCUUGAGAUAGGUUUUUAAUGAGGCAUAGUUUGGAUCACCUCACAUCUAAGCCCAUCAGCCGAGUCCAAAGCAGAAGAAGAGGAGCGUGUAAAGAAGAGUUCGAAUUCAAACUUGGCCAGCUUUCAAAGAACUAGUUCCUAGACACUUUAAUGCUUUGUAGACUCACAUGUGUUUCUCUUUAUAUUCACUUGUAAACUCUCUUUUGAGACUAUCUUAUCUUUUAAUCAAAAUCUUUUCUUAGUAAGAUCAAUUUUCUUGUUGGUGUGUAAUAUCCUUCAAGGCCUUUCGAUUCAUCUCUGGUGUGUAAUAUCCUUAGUUGAUUCGGAAACCAUUCAUCAAGGGUCUUCCGCAACCCUUGGCGUCUUAUCUAAACCCACAAACCUUGAUACAAUUCGCUUGUGUGCAAGGCUAUCCCCUUUGAUCCAGUUUAGUGAGUGUCGAUUUCAGGGAGAAUCAUAUUAAGUGGUAUCAGAGCAAGCACUCAAACCGCUGGAUCGUCGAAAACAUCAGGUUGUAUCUUUCCUUGUUGUUUCUCGAUUGUUUUUGAGUUUACAAGUUUGAUCAUCAUCACCGUUUAAUCGAAUCUGUUACUUGUGUUCUACUGCAUCAAACUAACCUAGAUUUAUUAAGCAGGAUCGAAUAUCUGAGAUCUAGUUGCUAUCAAAACGGAUAGAUCUAAGUGCCUUUUUAACUUCUAGGCUCGAAUCCGUUUUUUGCAUAUCUGACUUUUCGAAUUCAAUCUAUCGAUCAUGAUUUCUUGUAGAACACGAAUAGUCACUUUUGUUUUGUAAAACGAUCAGAGAAUUGUUGCUAGUGAUUUCGUGUUAUCCUUGUUUCAGGAACAAUGAGUGAUCAACAAGAAGAGUCCAGUGCUAAUGGUGUUAACAAAUUAUACAUGGAGGCAAUGUUAGCCGAAGUUAAGAAGCUUGUGACCGUGAGCCUCGAGGAGUUUCGACAGGAGAUUCAAGAGCAGACCAAACCAAAGGCUAGCAAAGAUAAGAGAAGAGAUCUAGGGAAAGAACCUGAGGAAGUUUUGGAGCCGACUAGACCUCUCAGAGAUGAUGCGGCCACAGAUUAUUACGGUCUUCUUAGUAGUUCCUCAAGAGACAGUCGAAGAAGGCAUAGGCGACACAAGGAAGAACGAGUUCAAGAGGGUUUUGGAGGAGUUAAACUCAGGAUCCCUCCUUUUCACGGCAAAAACGACCCUGAUGCCUACUUAGAGUGGGAAAAGAAGAUCGAAUUGUUGUUCAAUUGCCAACAAUUCGCCGGGAUUAAUCGAGUGAAGAUAGCCACUACCGAGUUCUACGAUUAUGCUCUUUGUUGGUGGGAUCAGGUUGUUACGACUAGAAGAAGAAAUCAGCAAUUUCCUAUUGAUACUUGGGAGGACAUGAAAUCUCUCAUGAGAAAAAGGUUUGUGCCAAGUCACUACCAUAGAGAAUUGCACCAAAGACUUAGACGGCUCACACAAGGCAACCGAUCUGUUGAAGAUUACUAUCAAGACAUGAAGACCUUGAUGCUACGAGCUGAUAUUCGAGAAGAUGCUGAAGCCACUAUGUCUCGUUUCUUAGGAGGAUUGAACAGAGAGAUUCAAGACAAGCUUGACAUGCAGCAAUAUGAGGAAUUAGAAGAUAUGUUGCAUAAGGCCAUCCUCAUAGAACAACAGCUCAAGAGGAGAAACACCAAAACCGUUUAUGGAGCUGGAGGAAUGCCUACUAAACCAAGAUAUUCUAGAGAGGAGAAGCCGAGUUCAGUAUCAAAAGAAGAGAAGCCAGCCGGUGUCUCUAAAGAAGAACCUAAGUCAUUCACUUCGGUAUCAGAUAACCGAAACAAAGCUAUGGGGCCAACAAGAACCAGAGACGUUAAGUGUUUCAAGUGUCUUGGAAGAGGGCAUUACGCAAACGAGUGUUCGAAUAAGAAGAUCAUGAUACUCAAAGACGAUGGCGAAUGGGAAUCAACAGCUGAGUCUGAAGCCGAAUCUCAUUCUGAACAUGAAGAGCUUCCUGCUCAUGGCUCCUUACUUGUAUCAAGAAGGUCUCUAAGCGUGCAAGCCAAAGCUAUAGAAGAGGAGCAGAGAGAGAAUUUGUUUCAUAGCCGGUGCCUUGUACAAGGAAAAGUUUGUAGUCUCAUCAUAGAUGGCGGUAGCUGCACCAACGUAGCCAGUCAAGAGAUGGUUCAAAAGCUCAACCUAGCCACCGAGAAGCACCCCCGACCCUACAUGCUCAACUGGUUGAAUAAUGAUGGGGAAUUAAAGGUCAACAGCCGUGUCAUGGUCCCUAUUAGUAUUGGAGGAUAUGAAGACGAGAUACAGUGUGAUGUGUUGCCCAUGGACGCAUGACACAUACUUCUAGGCCGGCCAUGGCAAUCGGAUCGAAAGGUUAUUCAUGAUGGGUUUACUAACAAGUAUUCCUUUAUUUUUAAAGGCAGGAAGACAACCCUCAUACCUUUGACGCCACAAGAAGUCUACCAGGAUCAAAUGCAGCUAAAGCAAAAGACAAAGCCGCCUACUAAAGCAUCUAACUUCUACUUGAGGGCUGGUGAUGUCAAAAGAUCUCUUAGUUCUAACCAACCGGUUCUUUUAUUUGUGUUUAAGGAGGCUCUCACCAAUAUGACUAACCUCACACCGGUUUUGCCGAGUAAAAUUCAAACUCUUUUGCAGGAAUACAAUGAUGUCUUCCCUGAAGAUAAUCCUAAAGAGUUACCUCCUUUUAGAGGCAUUGAACAUCAGACUGAUUUCAUGCCUGGUGCUUCAUUACCUAAUCGCCCUGCUUAUAGAACCAAUCCGGUUAAGACAAAGGAGUUACAAAGACAAGUCGAUGAACUAAUGGAGAAAGGACAGCAAAAGCUUAAUAAGAGACACGCGAGGUGGAUUGAGUUCAUUGAGACAUUUCCCUAUGUCAUCAAAUACAAGAAAGGUUAGGACAAUGUAGUUGCCGAUGCAUUGUCUCGAAGGUACACUCUACUCUCUACUCUUGAUGCUAAGCUUCUUGGUUUUGAACAACUUAAACUUCUGUACUCAUCUGAUUCGGAUUUUCAAACUAUUUAUGAGUCUUGUGCUACGUUUGCUUCGGGUUAUUAUCAUAGACAAGAGGGAUUUAUUUUCUUUCAUAAUCGUUUGUGUAUCCCUAAUUGUUCUAUUCGAGACUUGUUAGUCAGGGAAGCUCAUGGAGGAGGACUCAUGGGACAUUUUGGUAUAGCCAAAACCUUGAAAGUAUUACAAGAUCAUUUUCACUGGCCUCACAUGAAGAGGGACGUUGAGCGAGUUUGUUCAAGAUGUGCGACCUGUAAGCAAGCUAAAGCUAAGGUUCAGUCCAACGGUUUGUAUACACCUUUACCUAUUCCUUAUCAUCCUUGGACUGAUAUAUCAAUGGAUUUCAUGCUUGGAUUGCCUAGAACUAGGACUGGAAAGGAUUCGAUCUUUGUUGUAGUUGAUAUGUUCUCUAAAAUGGCGCAUUUUAUUGCAUGUAACAAGACUGAUGAUGCAUCGCAUGUAGCUAAUCUGUUCUUUAGGGACAUUGUUCGAAUACAUGGCAUGCCUAGGACCAUAGUAUCUGAUCGAGAUACCAAAUUCUUAAGCUACUUUUGGAAAACUUUAUGGUCUAAGCUAGGUACAAAGCUCUUGUUUUCCACUACUUGUCACCCACAGACUGAUGGACAAACUGAAGUAGUGAAUAGAACAUUGUCUACAUUGUUGCGAGCAUUGAUUAAAAAGAAUCUUAAGGCAUGGGAAGACUGUUUGCCUCAUGUAGAAUUCACAUAUAACCAUUCAGUGCAUUCAACUACUAAAUUCUCGCCUUUUGAAAUUGUUUAUGGCUUUAAUCCUUUGUCGCCUUUGGAUCUAACCUCUCUUCCUUUGAGUGAAAGAACUAGCCUAGAUGGAAAGAAAAGAGCAGAGCUUGUUAAACAGAUCCACGAGAAAGCCAGAGCUAACAUAGAGGAGAAAACAAAGCAAUAUGUCAAGCACGCUAACAGAAGCCGACGCAAGCUUACCUUUGAAGUGGGACAUCUCGUUUGGGUGCACCUAAGGAAGGAGAGAUUUCCAGCAGAAAGGAGAGAUUUCCAGCAGAAAGGAAGUCUAAGCUGAUGCCGAGAGUGGAUGGACCCUUUGAGAUAGUUAGAAAGAUCAAUGAUAACGCUUAUCAACUUGAUCUACAAGGUAAGUACAAGAUAAGUUCUUCUUUCAAUAUUUCUGACUUGAUUCCUUAUUUUGCAGAUGAUCCAGAUUUGAGGACAAAUCAUUUUCAAGAAGAGGGGGAUGAUAUGAUCUUGGAUAGCAUCAAUAACGAGUGGGAACCAGAUGGAAAACCGCAAGGAGCUAAGGAGCUAAGGAGUAAAGACAAGGUUCAGGAAAUGGAACAAGAAGACCCUUUGCUCAUUACAAAAGGUCCCAUGACCCGAGCAAAAGCUAAGAGGCUCAAGGAAGCUGUUGGGGAAAUACUUAAGCAUGGAACGCUUGUGGAACAGAAGGGAAAAGAGAUGGGCACAACUACACUAGUUGUGAUCCAAGUCCGAGAAGACUAAUGGGCUUGUGAUCCAACUAUGUACUCUUUUUCCCUAUCUCAAGUUUUGUCCCAAUGGGUUUUCUUGAGAUAGGUUUUUAAUGAGGCAUAGUUUGGAUCACCUCACAUCUAAGCACAUCAGCCGAGUCCAAAGCAGAAGAAGAGGAGCGUGUAAAGAAGAGUUCGAAUUCAAACUUGGCCAGCUUUCAAAGAACUAAUUCCUAGACACUUUAAUGCUUUGUAGACUCACAUGUGUUUCUCUUUAUAUUCACUUGUAAACUCUCUUUUGAGACUAUCUUAUCUUUUAAUCAAAAUCUUUUCUUAGUAAGAUCAAUUUUCUUGUUGGUGUGUAAUAUCCUUCAAGGCCUUUCGAUUCAUCUCUGGUGUGUAAUAUCCUUAGUUGAUUCGGAAACCAUUCAUCAAGGGUCUUCCGCAACCCUUGGCGUCUUAUCUAAACCCACAAAUCUUGAUACAAUUCGCUUGUGUGCAAGGCUAUCCCCUUUGAUCCAGUUUAGUGAGUGUCGAUUUCAGGGAGAAUCAUAUUAGCUUGGGAAGGGGAAGGCUUCCUGGAUUUCACAUCUUUGCGUCGCAUUGGAAUCACCGGAAAAUAAGCUUUUGGACCGAUGUGAACUCCGGAGACUUUAUUUUCCAAACCACUGUUCCGAAUAGAGCAAUUCCAACUGUUCUGAGAAAGUUUUUCACAGAUCUCAAACUUUGUUGAAGACCGAGCAGGCUUGUUCGGACCGGAAAGGCUCCGUCCUUCGUGAUCUUUGAAGUCUGCUGUUCGGUUCUCGAGUACGCGCAGUACUGGUGCAUUUUCCGGAAGCCGUAUCUUUCUCCUCACUGGUCCGAAUUGGAUGAUUCCAACUGUUCCGGGAUCUUUGCUUGAUUAUCUCCAACUUUGAUAAAGACCUCGCCAACUGAUUCGGACCAGAAGGUUCCCCGGAUUGCUGAUCUUUGAAACGCGCGGGCAAGGAUAGGUUUUAGCCGAGAAAAGCUUCCCGCGGUAAGGAAAAUGACCGAGGGCUAUGUACCGCGGUAAGCUUUUUAGCCGUAAAAUUCCUCUCGCCUCGGCCAAAAACUUAACCCGAGGUAAUUUGCACCCGAUACUCGACCUUGGUCGAUUUUGGUCGAUCGGUAAGGGUUUUGGUCGAUAAUGAGCGUUCGGUAAGCUUUUUGACCGAGGUUUCUGUCCAGCCGGUACGAGUUUUGGCCGAGAAAUUCCUCCAAGCGGUUUUCACCAUUUUUGACCCUUUUCUUCACCGUUUUCUUUUCUGCUCCUCUUCUUAAGCUCCAAAUGGCUCCCAAAGCACCUGAUAAAGACUUCAAAACAUGCAAAACUCUUUGGGACCUAAUGCAAGCCCUAAAUCCUUUUGAUGCCUAAAGACUCAAUUUACAUGGGAAAACACAUGAUGAGGACUCUAAAAUGCAACCUAAAUGAUGCAAAAUAUAGACAUAUCAACUCCCCCACACUUGUCCUUUGCUUGUCCUCAAGCGAAAAGAACAAAUGAGAGAGAGAGGUUGUAGUGCAGAUGGAGCUCAUAUUUCCUUUUUAGAGAGAAGUGAUCACAAUAAGAACUCGGAUUCAUGCUCAAAUAUGCAAUGCAAAGCUAUACUCAGAUAUUUUCCAACUAAAGCACGGAAUCUCCACAAGUCAUCAUCACAUUCAACUCUUUCAAAUUCAUUAAGUUCGUAACCGGUGAAUCAAAUGAUGCAAUGUUCAAAUAGGCUGGCAUGGCUAGGCUAAGGUCAUGAGAUAAAAAUGAUCUCAUCAAUAUUCAAGCGGGAGCAAUGCAGCAAAGGGAUCUCUCUAUGAACGACCAAACUUUGGCAGAAUGCUAAAGGUAAAAAGCAACCUAUGCAUACAAGGGCAAGACUCAUCACACCCCACACUCCACUCAAAGCUUUCUCACUUGCUCACCCUCUCAAGAUCCUCACUCUUCUCAAUCGUUUUCUGUUCACUAGGGGGCUCACUUUCUGCUUUCAUUCUCAAGUCUUGGAGUUCAUUUAUUCGCAUAGCUCUUCCCUUUCACAUCGUAUAGUCUCUUUUCUUUUCAUUUUAGAACACUUGAGCCUUUUUGGCUUCUUUUCAUCUCAGAGACUAAAUUUUUCUUUUAAAAACAUCAGAGCUCAUCUUUUCAAAUCCAAGACUCAGUUCUUUUUCUUUCAUCCCCCUAGCUAUUUCCACUUCCUCUUUUCCACUCAACUCACCUUUUUCCACUCACUAACAAGUCUUUUCCCCCACACUUAUUCCUCGCCAAUACUCUCAGUUCCUUGAUGUUGGAACAUAGCACUCAAUGAGACAUGCCCUUGUCGCUCUAAACCUAACACUUUCUGCUAAGUUUGGUCCAAGGUGGCCUUACAAUUCACACACAAACAUUGGCUUGAAAGAAAGAUGGGUUCAAGGUGAGGGAACUGAUCCAUGAUGCGGAUUCAGCUACUUGAGCUAAGGAAGGAGGGUGGUAAAAACAACGAUUCUAGCUCAAGUAUGUAUAUUGGUAUCCACAAGCCCAUUCAAGCAAUGCAUCAAAAAAUAUUUUCAAUUCAAGUUCAGGGUUAUCACUUAGUUAGAGUUGAGUGUAAUUCAAACUUGCUUCUCAGAUUCAAAUCGUUUCAAGCUUUACAAGCACAGAAUGAGUUCACAAGCAUAUUUAGUUCAAGUUCUCAAGUGAUUUACUCUCUAGGAAAAAAUCUAUCAUUGCUCCUUGCACUGAUGCAAUCCUACAUGAUGCAACUAGACUCGAUCUUAGAAUGCAAGAUGCAACUAGAAUGAUGCAUUUUUUUUUGUGAAAUUUUUCAAUUUAUCAUAUGUACUAAGCUAGAUGAGACUCAAGAAUGCAAAAGUCAAAUAAGAACAAAGAAAACAAGAUCAGAAAACACAAAGCUCCUCCCCCACACUUAAAUAACACAAUCCCUUGUGUUAUAAAAGCGUGUGAGAGAAGUAAAAAGACAAACUAAACAAAUGCAAGAUGGUAUAUACAAGAUGCAUAUUUACAAAGGUUUGAAGUCGAUACCUCAGUCUGAGAGGUCUGAUCCCAAGUAGUACGAGGGAUUUGACGUUGAGCAGGAGGGUGUGGACUGACGUGGUGGGCUGCUCUCCGAGGGUUCCGGUAAGAAAGCUGUGGCAGGAUCGAUCCAGUCCUCUUUUCCUGGUGGAAACUCCGGGUUCCUCGCGUUUGAGCUUUCUCCAACCUCUUCUUUGUAACUUGUGCGGUUGAGGUUGUCGAGUUCUUGUCAGGUGAGUAUGGCCUGGCGAGUUGCUUGACUUUCUUUUUCAGGUGCCUUACACAGUCCACCAACGCAUGAAUGGUCUUGUCUUGCCACUUACACCAUUUUUGGAGGGUGUUCACUCGCGAAUACAGCUUCUUGGUGUGGUAUUCAGGCUCACCCCACACGUAUUGAUCAAAAUGAUAUCGGCCUGCCCAGUCCUUCUCUCAGCGUGACUUUGUUCCUCAUUCUCACAUCCGGCCGGGCCAUUCUUGUUCCGAGGCUUGCUAGACGCGGCUUUGGUGCACUUGCGCAUGGGUGGGUCGAGAGAUUGGUUGUACAACUGAUCUUUGAGGACAUAGAAGGAGACGUUACACUGCUUAUCAAGUAUGGUGAGGCCUCGGUUAGGCAGUAGAACCUGUGUGCCGUCUCUGUGCAUCAGUGUGAAGUUGUAAACCCAUCUGUCUCGUGACUUGCCUCUGAAGAAUCCACUAUUACUUAGGUAUUGCUCAUCAAUGAUAUUCGGCCUUGAUGGUGAAUCAGGGAAUAUGAACCCCUGAGCUCUCAAAAUCUUAGUGACAAUCCAACCGUUCUGAAGCCUCCUUGCUCCUUUCUUCUUUCGGUCGCACCAGACAUUGUGCCUGUAAGUAAGCAUUUGAAUCGCAAAGAACGCGCCUAAAGAGGGUACAUGCAUUGGUCCUUGGAACUCCUUCUUGUUCUUCAUUUGAGUGAUGAGCGGCUUCAGUCCAAGUCCUAACAGUUCAAGCUCGGCCGUGUGAAUAACACCAGGGUUAUCGGUCAAGAAGAAUGUAGAGGCUAAAACUCGGUUGGUGUAUCGGAUCGCAGGGUUUCUGAUGCAACUCGUCUUGCUCUUGCCUCCCAGGUAAGGUCCAAAAGCGAUUGUUUCCCACAAGGCAGCCAACUCUUCUUUUGGGUACACAAACUUGUCAAGCGAGCUUCCGUUCUUUUCAAAUCCAAAUAUCUCAUCAAGCUCCUUGAAACUGACCUUGUAGUGCACGUUUUCCAUGUCAAACUCAAUGUGGCCGAACCCUUUUCCAUGUAAGCGAUUGGGAUCUCUCUUGGGGUAGAUGACAACCUCCAAAGUGGCAAGAAACUGUUGUGUGAAUCCCUCAUAGGCAACAUCACUCAUCUCAAAGAACUCGGCCAAACCCAUGUUUUGAAAGAUGAGGGUAACAUCUUCUAGUAUCUCAAGCCCCCUCAAAAGCUCCUUAUCAGGAAACCGACCUUGAGCCACUCUUAUAGAGUUAAAGUGGUCCAAGUACUCCUCAGUAGUUGGGAAAUGCUCUUCCUCGGGCUCGGGCUUCGGUUCCUUCUUGGCCUUCUUGCCACUUUCUUCUUUGUGAGGGACUAGGGCUCUGAGCUCGUCGUCAUCAGAUCCAACGACUGCCUGCUUCCCAUUCUUCCUUGAUUCAAGAGCCGGUGCCGGAGUGAGAUCGGCGUUCCUUGCUCGUUUAGCGGCUGGCUCACCACGGCCACGGCUUUCCCUUUUGUACCUCCCCUCUGGACCUCGCUUUUGUUCAUCUCAUGAGCAGGAACAGUUUGUUUGCCGGUCAUCUGCAAAGGAGAUUCUCACGGAAACCGUUAGAAUCAAGUAUAUCAAUAAGCACAAGAUAGCAAAACAAAGCUUUUCUUCUAACAAGACUGGUUUUAUAGCUUCCUCAAACAUCAAAGAGAGUAUCAACAAGCUAGAACAACUGGAAAGAGUCAAAAUAUCUAGACAGUUCAGCUCAAUAUCUCAGUUCACAUUUAAAGCCGAUUCCAAGCGCAUUUUCUCAAGAAUUUUAAAAACUCAAGAACAAGUGAUUUUCAGAGCAAAGACCAGUUUUUCAUGUGUUGUCUAUCGUGAUGGAAUUUUUAAUAUUGUUCCCAAAGGCCGAUACGUUCUAAAAGAAUCGAUUCCACAUUUUACAAACAUUAAAGCUCGCAAAUAAUGAAGGAAAAAGAUGAGUUCUUUGAGAUGCAAAUACCUUUGGGAAUUCAAGGUUUAAGCUUAGUGAGAUGCUUAUGCAGAAUAGACAACACCCUAACGAGUCUAGAGCACUUGGAAUCGCGUGAAAUGAAUGAGAGAUGAGAGAGAUGUGUUCGCGAAAUGCAGAGAAAAGAGUGAAGAAGGCAAACUCUGCGUUUUAGCUCAGUAUGGAGGCUGGUAUGGGCUGGAGCGCGCUUUCCAGCUGGCAUUUGGACUGUUGUGGGACUGGUCCCCCCCUCUGCUCCAGCUCCAACCAUUGACCGCGCCAAAAAUAUCUUUGACCGAGCAUUCAAAUUUGAAUUACCGCGCAAAGCCUUCAAAUGGAUGCGGUAUGGGAAUGACGUGGGCCGUACGGUCUGGAGUGCUUUUUCUUGUGUUAACAUGAGCGGCCUCGGCUUGUUCCACCACGAGGGCACCAAACCGAGCGAUUUGAGUAACUCUCUGUGGCCUCCAAGUCGCUUCCAUAGACCGCGCAAAGCCUCUUUUUCGAUCUAAGUGUUCCAAGUGUUCUUGUUUUUAAUCGUUCUUGAAACCGGGCACCUCGGCACUCUCCACCACGAGGGUAUAAUGCCGAGGUCACUUAUUUUAACAAAGAACACUUGGUGCUUGGGGGUUUAAACGGGCUGGCCUUGGUGUAAACUGGUCGCGGCCUCGGAUCGAGGUUUUUGACCGUUUUAAGUGAGCAUCGGUCCUCGGUAUGAUUAUACCGAGGUGUUUACACCGUGAGCCUCCCCCACACUUAGCCAUUUCACCACUUUACUUCAUAUACACGGCCAUGAUGAAAAUAAGUCGAGGAGUUUAGCUGAGGUUUUCAAGCUUAUACUCGGUAAAAGGUGACCGCGGUAUGAAUAUACCGAGGGUCGAUACCGAGGCUAUGAAUACUAUCCGACUUAAAUCGUCAGGCCGUGUAUUUUUCAAGCUUUUCUCUCAAGGCUCACUGUCUAACUCCUGAAACACUUAACAAACCCUUCAAAAAGCUUCAAAUAAAAAGAAAAAGAAGAUGAAAAACGAAAUAUGUACAAGGAUAAGCUUGGGGUGUCUCCCAAGAGCACUUUGUUUAACGUCUCUAAGUUUGACUUUUCAUACCUUUUCAGGCUGAUUCCGGUUCAAGAAGAGGAACUGAGGUAGCUCCCUCUCUUGUUUCUGAUGCCAAGUAAUGCUUUACUCUCUGACCGUUUACCACAAAGCCUUGUCCAUCUUUUCCUUUUAACCCGACGGCUCCAUAAGGCCUUACUUCAAGAAUUGUGAAUGGACCGGACCACCUAGACCUCAGCUUCCCAGGGAACAGCUUAAGUCUCGAGUUGAACAACAGAACUUGGUCCCCUUCUUUGAACUCUCCCUUGUGUAUCUUCUUGUCAACAGAUCUCGUGAAGAACACGUCAAGAACAUGCAUGAACCCUAGUCUUUGAUCCAUCUUCUCGUGUGUGUUCUUGAGCCGUCUUGUUCUCGAUUCUGGAGUUGUGAAAAGGGGCCUUGCCAUAAAAUUUCACGGGGCUUGGUAGUCGAGAGGUUCGGGAGAACAGAGUCCGGCAUGCACGCCGAGGCCAUUACACCGAGGUGCACGUUCAACACUUAGUCGUUUCCAGCUUCAUUUCUUACGUGUGCAUGCCUUGAUCUCAUCAUGCCGAGGUGUCAGCACGAGGUCUAGUCCAAAAUACUCCCAAGAUAUGAGCCUUGACUUGAGCAAUGUCGGGAUACUGAUGCCGAGGCUUGAGAAAAUACUUAGCGCGUAUCGCAACUCAUUUAGGCUCGUAUCGACCAUAUUGCCUUCCGGAAGCAGUAACUUUCAACACACGACUCCAAUUGCUCUGAGACCAGUUCCAUAGUCAAGAUGACUCAAUAAGCUCGAACUUUGGUGAAGAAACCGUCGGAGCUUGGGAAGUGGAAGGCUUCCUGGAUUUCACAUCUUUGCGCCGCAUUAGAAUCACCGGAAAAUAAGCUUUUGGACCGAUGUGAACUCCGGAGACUUUAUCUUCCAAACCACUGUUCCGAAUAGAGUGAUUCCAACUGUUCUGAGAAGGUCUUUCACAGAUAGCAAACUUUGAUGAAGACCUGGCAGGCUAGUUCGGACUGGAAAGGCUCCUUCCAUCGUGAUCUUUGAAGUCCGCUGUUCGGUUCUCGAGUACGCGCAGUACUGGUGCAUUUUCCAGAAGCCGUAUCUUUCUCCUCACUGGUCCGAAUUGGAUGAUUUCAACUGUUCCGGGAUCUUUGCUUGAUUAUCUCCAACUUUUAUAAAGACCCCGCCAACUGAUUCGGACCGGAAGGUUCUCCGGAUUGCUGAUCUUUGAAACGCGCGGGCAAGGAUAGGUUUUAGCCGAGAAAAGCUUCCCGCGGUAAGGAAAAUGACCGAGGGCUAUGUACUGCGGUAAGCUUUUUAGCCGUAAAAUUCCUCUUGCCUCGGCCAAAAACUUAACCCGAGGUAAUUUGCACCCGAUACUCGACCUUGGUCGAUUUUGGUCGAUCGGUAAGGGUUUUGGUCGAUAAUGAGCGUUCGGUAAGCUUUUUGACCGAGGUUUCUAUCCAGCCGGUACGAGUUUUGGCCGAGAAAUUCCUCCAAGCGAUUUUCACCGUUUUCUUUUCUGCUCCUCUUCUUAAGCUCCAAAUGGCUCCCAAAGCACCUGAUAAAGACUUCAAAACAUGCAAAACUCUUUGGGACCUAAUGCAAGCCCUAAAUCCUAUUUUGAUGCCUAAAGACUCAAUUUACAUUGGAAAACACAUGAUGAGGACUCUAAAAUGCAACCUAAAUGAUGCAAAAUAUAGAUAUAUCAAACCCUCAACACGACAGCACAUAUCACCCCUCCAUAAAUAUGAACAAGGAGGAAGCUUAACUUUCCACUCCAUAAAUAUAGACAAAGGGGAGGCUUAACCUUCCACUCCAUAAAUAUAAAAGGAAGAGACUUACCUUCCACUCCAUAAUUAUUAUUUGAGGAGACAAAGUCUACCAUAUAAUAAUUUUUUUUUUCAGAGAAGGCAUAGUGUAACACCCGUAUUUGGGAAAAUCUUACCAAGUAGGAAGAUUGGUUACUGGAAUUAGAUUUAUGUAGAGCCGAAAUGGGAAAAAUCCGGGAAGGUUAACUGAGGAAAGUCGGAAAAUGGAUUUAGUCAGAGAAAACUGGGUUUAGUCGGUGAUGCCGAGCUAAGUCCAACAUUCGCCUAGCCAAAUCAAGCUUUGUCCGAGCUAAAAUCAGCUGCCGGGAUUUUUGGAAAGUUUAGCUGGAUAUUCUGACAAGCCGAGUUUUUUAAAUUUGGUUGGAAUUCAGAUAAGACAGCCUUUGUCGGCUUCGGGUUUGCGCAGGAGCGGUUAUCGGGUAAGCGCUUUCGGGAAAAAGUGCUGGAACGGUUAUUGGAUUUGGUCGAGCAAGCGCUAGCGUGGAAACAGUUAUUGUCGGGUAAAAUAUACGCGUGAGCGGUUUUUAGCCAAGAGGGAGUUCAUAUUGGCGCGAGAACGAUUUCUGGGCGAUUUUCUGCAGAAAAACAAGUGAGCGCCUAUAUAUUAAAGGGUUCUGGCUCAUUUUCUCUUCUUCGAGCGAUCAAAAACCUCAGAAAGAUUGAGAGAAACAGUUUUAAGAGAAGUCAGUCAAGAGAAAUUAUCUGUAGCCGAGAGAUAUCCGAUUCAAGCCGAGAGCGACUACAAUUUUGUCGAGUGUAGUCUGGAUUCAGCCGAGCCAUCGUGGGAACAAGUUAGAAAGAUCGUGCUACACAUAGCCUAUCUUUCUGAAAAAAAUAAUACAUAAAUAGAGAAGGCAUAAUCGAUAACAACAAAAAAAUUAAAAACAAGCCUAUCAUAGAUUUUGAGGAGAUGGAGCCUACCAUUCCGUUCAUAAUAUAGAAACUUAAAAAGAUAACAUGAAUGUAACUAUUACCUUCAAAUUGAUGAAUGAACGAACAGUAACAGAGAGAUGAUCGUGUUUUCCGUAUACGAACGAGCAAGGAGACGAUCAUGCUGAAAACGUGUUGUGAAAAACAACUUUGGGAAGGCGUUCGUAUAUAUGUAAACACUAGAGAAGAGAGACUUAGAAAGAGAGUUAGAGAAUGAAGAAAAAAACUAUCAAGAUAUUUUCUUAUUUCUCUCACUAGAUUGUCAAUCUUUUACAAAGCCAAGCUCACAUAUAUAUAGCAAAGAAGGUUGGAGAUAAAGUUUUAUAAACUUGGGGACAAAGUAGUCCAUGGGAGAUGAAUCUCUAGGGAGAUGAAUAUUUAAUAGCUAAGAAGUUUGGGGAGAAAACUAUUCCCAAAUGUAUAAUCAAUAUAUUUUAUAACAUAAAGAGUGUUUUCCUCUUGAAGCUUUUAUGCUUUGUUUUGCUUGUCUAUUUUAAUUGUUUUCCUCUUAAAAUCAAGUGUAUAUCAUUAGAAUAUUAUGGGAGAUGUUUUACUCUUCGUGUGAAACUUCUGCAAUUUAAGUUGCUUUUUCAUGUGUUAAUUUGUGUGAUUCAAUCAACACCUCCAUCUCCACCUCUACUAUCUUCUCACCAUCCAUUUCAAGUUGUAGGCUUUGAAAUCACUUGAUUUAUAAGAUUGUGAGAUUAAAUUUUAUAUCAACAAAUGCCACAUCACCUUUUGACAGACCUAUAUUAGUGCUCCAACACCAUCUAGCUACUUUACACAUAUUGAUCAUACAACAGGAUUAUCAAACAAGUAUGAUUGUGCUUCUACUAAUGCUUUCCUAGAUUCAGAUUUGAUAAUAAGAUGUCAUAAGUUAUAAGUAAGAAAUGGAUAUUCUACCCAUUUCUGGUUUGAUCAAUGGUCUCCAUCAGGCAAACUGAUGGACAUCAUAGGAGCAUAGGGAGUUAUUGACAAGGGGAUUCCAGCACACACAACUUUGGGGCAUGUUCUCGAUAUUCUGAUAAAAACACUUUUGCAAGUCAAUAAGAUCAAUUAAUCUCUUGGUGAUAUUUUAGCAUAAGAGGAACAAUCCAAAUGGGAUAAGGUUCAAUCAGUAAGAAUUUGUAUAAUACUUCUUAAUCCUAGCAAGCAAGACGUUUUGGUUUUUCAACUAAUGUCUAAGUGAUUUAAAUUAAAUACAAAUAAAUAAGGAAACUAAACAAAGCAAUUAACUAAGCAAGAUUAACAAUAAUAAAAAGAUGAAUCAUUGGGUGAGAUCAUUCACUUUGCUAAACUCUAGAUAUGAUCUAUGAUGCUAAAACAAUCAAUUACUUGCAUAAUCUAGAUCAUUAAUUUAGAGUAAUUCACACUCAUGAAACUAAUAUUUUUGCUAAUUACUUAAUCAAGAACAAACGAUCAUUUGUGAAAAAGCAAUUAUCAAAAAUUAAUAACAGAUCAAAUGACUAAAUAAACACCUUAUACAAUCAUUCUCAUGAGUUAAGCAUGCAAAUCCUUUAUCUAAAUUCAUUGGAGAAAUUCAUCAAACACCUUAUGGGUUGUGAAAUUUCCUAAAAGACUAAGAUUUAUCUAUCUCAAGCAAAUCUGACAUAAAGUCACUUAGAUAAAUAAGAAAACAAGAAUCUAAAACCUAGAAAACAUAGAUCAACCCUGAAAUCACCUUAAUCUAUCUCACACAUGGAUUCAAAAGAUAAACUACUCACUAAUCAUGUUUAACUAAACAAAUCUGAUGAAAGAUAUGUUAAGUAUCAUGAUUAUUAAUGAUUAAGAAAAGAUAAAAAGAAGAUAGAUUAGAGUAAAUUAAAUAAGAUUCAAACUUGCACUGAACUCAAUAAAAGAUCUGUUUACAAAUUUUAGAUACCAAAAAAAAAAAAAAUUUACAAAGGGAAGAGAUGUGUGCUCUAUAACUAGGCCUAGGGUAUUUAUAGGUGGUGGUCCACGUUCAGGUCUUGGGCUCCAUACCGGUCACAUUCUGACUGGUAUGAGUGUUCUCUUUGGGUGUCUUGGUGAUGUGGUCGUGUGUUGAGGGUUGUCAAGUUUUACCCUAAAUGAAAUCAAUAGCCGCAAGUGCACAGCUGAUCGAUUGUAGUACUUAGGGAUCGAAUCCACAGGGAAGGAUGAUCUUUCCUGCAAAAGCCUACGAAAGAAAUAUGAAGUAAGGAAGUCUAUAACCAAACGGUUUUGUGGGGGUUUUGGUGGUGUGUUUAAAACGUAAAAAUGAAAUUUAAAAAGAAACAACAGGAAUUAAAAUGACCUAAUAACUAAACUUAAUGAAAACGGGUAAAAACGGGAAAAACGGCAAACCUAAUUGCUUAAAUGAAAAUCGAUUGAAAGGGAAUGAAAAUAGUAAACUAAAGCUUGAAAUAAAAUGGUGUGGAUCUAUAAGAAAAGAGGCGCUGGGGUUCAGGGAAGUUUUCUCAGGUGUACGAACGAUUCAAAACAUUGCUAGAGAGUAAAUUUGAUAAGAUCUUAGCUUAAACUUUUCGAACUGGAGUCACGGACGUAUGAAUACGCCACUGUCGUGAUCAUAGACAACUAUCUCUCUCAACCCUGACCAGUAGGUUUCCACUCUGGUCCUGGAAAAGAAGAGAUGCAUUAUGUUUAAGACUCGUCAGCAUUCACAAAUCUCUCAUAGGUAGGUUUCCACUCCUAUGUUUGUUUUGCUCUCCCAAACUAGAUCUGACACCGGAUGAACACUUUCGUGUCACCAAUCAUCUGGAUCAGAUUGUAGUUCAUGACGCAACUCUCAUGCAGUAAAAACGAAUUCAGAAGAAAAAGUUCUAAGAUUCGGCUCAAAAGCUCAUGGAAUCCUCACCGAACAUAUAAAUCCCCAUCGAAAAUCCCUUAGUCCCAACAAUAAAACUACUCAGACAUGAUGAACGAAAUCAAAAACAUACAGUAAAACCUCUAUAAAUUAAUAAUGUCGGGACCAUAAUAUUUUAUUAGUGUAUCGUGAUAUUAAUUUAUCUAUAAAUUAAUAAUUAUUAAUUUAUUGUAUAAAUUAGAUAAUGUUUGUGUACUUAAUUAAUGUACAUUUUUAAUUCCUUAAUUUUUUAUACUAAUAUUCCAUAUUUUUAUGUUAAUAUAUGAAGCAGUUUUCUUCAAUUUAUGUUAGUAUUCCAUUUUUUUAUUUCUUAAAUUUUUCCUUGACAUUCAUGAACUUGAGGUUUUGAUUAAUUAUCUCGGUUAUCGGAACAAAAUGGAUGUUAAUACCAUACUCGACUAUCCUGCUGAAAACGAUACAUGCUCAGAAGUUCAGAGUUUAGAAGAGAUUGUGGCUACUGUCCUUAAUGUUGAUGAUGAAGUUGAAGAUGAUGUUAUGGAAUCUUGGUCAAGAAAUUAAUGUGACUUGUGAAGUACAGCAAUUAUUAGGAAACAAUCGAGUUAGAGCUGUAGCUAUGAGUGCGACAGAGGGUUUAAAGAGAGGAAUGGACGUGGUUGAUAUGGGAAAUCCUCUAAGUGUUCCAGUCGGCGGAGCGACUCUAGGACGAAUUUUCAACGUGCUUGGGGAACCUGUUGAUAAUUUAGGGCCUGUCGAUACUCGCACAACAUCUCCUAUCCAUAAAUCCGCGCCUGCUUUUAUCCAAUUAGAUACAAAAUUAUCUAUUUAGAGCAGCCGGACGGACUAUUCUAGUGAGUCUAGUGACUACUAGAGUAGAGUUGAGUCAAAAGGUAUGGUAUAGCAGCCUUUCCGAGCGAGCCUCUGGGAUCUCCUGUAAACCCCCAUGAUGUGGUAAAGGGAGGAUAUUAGGGGAAGCAGUGAGUGGAGAUUCCCCUGCGGAGAGCCGGAUGAGGGGAGACCUUCACGUCCGGUC